Molecule: long non-coding RNA, 1120 nt
Filed under: Nicotiana benthamiana
Lineage: Eukaryota; Viridiplantae; Streptophyta; Magnoliopsida; Solanales; Solanaceae
Description: long non-coding RNA (NBEN_LNC006025)
Source: RNAcentral
CACAGUUGAUUGGUUUGUACAUCCUAGAUGAUGUCAAGAACUGUUUGAUGGCAGUGUUGACUUGGGUACCAAUGAUACCCCAACUCUUUUUGAAGAAAACAACAUUGUAACCAUCAAUCCCAGGGGCUUUGUCAUCUCCAAUAGCCUUAAUACUUUCUGCUAUUUCUGUAUCAGUCACUGUUGCACAUAGUUCCUGUCUCUGUUGCUGUGUCAGCUUUGGCCCAUUCGACAUAUACAUUUGGUUUAUAGCAGGCAGAGUACCUGCAGUUGUGCCCAUCAGUGCUUUGUAAAAACCUAUGAUUUCCGCUUUGAUUUCCUCAGCUGUAGUGAGUUUGGUGCCCACUGCAUUUACAAGCUCAGUGAUCUGAUUGUGUUGGUUUCUUUCUUUCAUUACCGCAGUGAAGUAUUUGGUAUUGGAGUCCCCAAGUUGUAUCCACUUAGCCCUUGCCUUCUGUUGCAGAAUACUCUCCUCAAUAAGUGACGAUUUUUCUAAGUUCAGGACCAGUUCCUUCUCCCUCUGUUGAAGUUGAUCAGUGUAUGACUGGUGCAUUUGUGCUUGCACUGUUUCCAGAUCCUUUCGACCCUGCUGAAUUUUCUCUGAGAUUGUCUUGAAUUCCUUACUAUCCAGGUUCUUCAAGGGGUGCUUUAGUGCUUUGAGUUUACCCCAAAUUGCUUUCAUUGUAUCUGCCUUGCCCUCUUGCCAAACUCUGGAUACAAUCCGUUGGAAAUUCUUAUGGUCAGCCCAGACAUUAAAGAAUUUGAAAUUCUUCUUUCCAUGCCAUGAGGUUGAAGACAGUGUUAGCACCAUGGGUUUAUGGUAUGAGAUUAGGGGAAAAUCAUAGUUAGUAACCACCUGGCUCCAUGUGAUCAUCCAGCAUGCCAUGAGGUUGAGGACAGUGUUAGCACCAUGGGAAUAUGGUCUGAGAUUAGGGGCAAAUCAUAGUUAGUAACCACCUGGCUCCAUGUGAUCAUCCAUUCAUAGUUACCAAAGGCUCUAUCUAACCUGCUACAUACUCUGUCCACACCUGUUUGUUUGUUUGUCCAUGUGUAGUAUUCUCCUCUCCAAGGUAAUUCAGUCAGUCCAGCUUGUUGCAAACAGCUGUUGAAGUCUAGAGUUUCA